CCUACGGGAGGCAGCAGUGAGGCAUAUUGGUCAAUGGGCGCAAGCCUGAACCAGCCAAGUAGCGUGAGGGAUGACGGCCCUACGGGUUGUAAACUUCUUUUAUAAAGGAAUAAAGUGAGGCACGUGUGCCUUUUUGUAUGUACUUUAUGAAUAAGGAUCGGCUAACUCCGUGCCAGCAGCCGCGGUAAUACGGAGGAUCCGAGCGUUAUCCGGAUUUAUUGGGUUUAAAGGGUGCGUAGAUGGGUUGUUAAGUCAGUUGUGAAAGUUUGCGGCUCAACCGUAAAAUUGCAAUUGAGACUGGGAGUCUUGAGUACAGUUGAGGGAGGCGGAAUUCGUGGUGUAGCGGUGAAAUGCUUAGAUAUCACGAAGAACCCCGAUUGCGAAGGCAGCCUACCAAACUGUGACUGACAUUGAUGCUCGAAAGCGUGGGUAUCAAACAGGAUUAGAUACCCUUGUAGUC
Molecule: ribosomal RNA, 460 nt
Filed under: uncultured bacterium
Lineage: Bacteria
Description: partial 16S ribosomal RNA
Rfam family: Bacterial small subunit ribosomal RNA
Source: RNAcentral